Molecule: ribosomal RNA, 119 nt
Filed under: Vigna angularis (adzuki bean)
Lineage: Eukaryota; Viridiplantae; Streptophyta; Magnoliopsida; Fabales; Fabaceae
Source: RNAcentral
AGGUGCGAUCAUACCAGCACUAAUGCACCGGAUCCCAUCAGAACUCCCCAGUUAAGUGUGCUUGGGCGAGAGUAGUACUAGGAUGGGUGACCUCCUGGGAAGUCCUCGUGUUGCACCUC